Molecule: unclassified non-coding RNA, 346 nt
Filed under: soil metagenome
Description: partial contains 5.8S ribosomal RNA, internal transcribed spacer 2, and large subunit ribosomal RNA
Rfam family: 5.8S ribosomal RNA (bases 1-120)
Source: RNAcentral
GAUGAAGAACGCAGCGAAAUGCGAUACGUAAUGUGAAUUGCAGAAUUCAGUGAAUCAUCGAGUCUUUGAACGCACAUUGCGCCCCCUGGUAUUCCGGGGGGCAUGCCUGUCCGAGCGUCAUUGCUGCCCUCAAGCACGGCUUGUGUGUUGGGCCUCCGUCCUCCUCCCUGGGGACGGGCCCGAAAGGCAGCGGCGGCACCGCGUCCGGUCCUCGAGCGUAUGGGGCUUCGUCACCCGCUCUUGUAGGCCCGGCCGGCGCUUGCCGACACAUCAAUCUUUUUUCCAGGUUGACCUCGGAUCAGGUAGGGAUACCCGCUGAACUUAAGCAUAUCAAUAAGCCGGAGGA